AUUAGAUACCCUAUUAUUUUUAUUGUAAAAAUUUAAGCUAGAGUAUUAAUAGUUAUGGUCUUCAAACUUAAAGAAUUUGGCGGUAUUAUAGUCUAUUUAGAGGAAUCUGUUAUUUAAUCGAUAAUCCACGUGGGACCUUACUUAAAUUAUUUCUUGUAUACCGCUGUUUAAGAAUAUACUUUUAGGUUAUUUUCUGAAUAUAUAAGUAAUUAAAAUUUCAAGUCAAGGUGCAGUAAUAUAUAAGUUUAAUAAUGGAUUACAAUAAAUUUUAUUUAUUAUGGAUAUUUUAUUGAAAUAUAAUUUGAAGGUGGAUUUAAUUGUAAUUUUAUAAAGAUUAUUAAAAUGAUUUAUAGCUCUAUAAUAUGUACACAUCGCCCG
This 378-nucleotide ribosomal RNA is filed under the name Stagmomantis limbata. Its description in RNAcentral is "partial 12S ribosomal RNA". Lineage: Eukaryota; Metazoa; Arthropoda; Insecta; Mantodea; Mantidae. The record is from RNAcentral.